Molecule: ribosomal RNA, 2926 nt
Filed under: Escherichia coli
Lineage: Bacteria; Pseudomonadati; Pseudomonadota; Gammaproteobacteria; Enterobacterales; Enterobacteriaceae
Description: partial 23S ribosomal RNA
Rfam family: Bacterial large subunit ribosomal RNA
Source: RNAcentral
GGGUUGUGAGGUUAAGCGACUAAGCGUACACGGUGGAUGCCCUGGCAGUCAGAGGCGAUGAAGGACGUGCUAAUCUGCGAUAAGCGUCGGUAAGGUGAUAUGAACCGUUAUAACCGGCGAUUUCCGAAUGGGGAAACCCAGUGUGUUUCGACACACUAUCAUUAACUGAAUCCAUAGGUUAAUGAGGCGAACCGGGGGAACUGAAACAUCUAAGUACCCCGAGGAAAAGAAAUCAACCGAGAUUCCCCCAGUAGCGGCGAGCGAACGGGGAGCAGCCCAGAGCCUGAAUCAGUGUGUGUGUUAGUGGAAGCGUCUGGAAAGGCGCGCGAUACAGGGUGACAGCCCCGUACACAAAAAUGCACAUGCUGUGAGCUCGAUGAGUAGGGCGGGACACGUGGUAUCCUGUCUGAAUAUGGGGGGACCAUCCUCCAAGGCUAAAUACUCCUGACUGACCGAUAGUGAACCAGUACCGUGAGGGAAAGGCGAAAAGAACCCCGGCGAGGGGAGUGAAAAAGAACCUGAAACCGUGUACGUACAAGCAGUGGGAGCACGCUUAGGCGUGUGACUGCGUACCUUUUGUAUAAUGGGUCAGCGACUUAUAUUCUGUAGCAAGGUUAACCGAAUAGGGGAGCCGAAGGGAAACCGAGUCUUAACUGGGCGUUAAGUUGCAGGGUAUAGACCCGAAACCCGGUGAUCUAGCCAUGGGCAGGUUGAAGGUUGGGUAACACUAACUGGAGGACCGAACCGACUAAUGUUGAAAAAUUAGCGGAUGACUUGUGGCUGGGGGUGAAAGGCCAAUCAAACCGGGAGAUAGCUGGUUCUCCCCGAAAGCUAUUUAGGUAGCGCCUCGUGAAUUCAUCUCCGGGGGUAGAGCACUGUUUCGGCAAGGGGGUCAUCCCGACUUACCAACCCGAUGCAAACUGCGAAUACCGGAGAAUGUUAUCACGGGAGACACACGGCGGGUGCUAACGUCCGUCGUGAAGAGGGAAACAACCCAGACCGCCAGCUAAGGUCCCAAAGUCAUGGUUAAGUGGGAAACGAUGUGGGAAGGCCCAGACAGCCAGGAUGUUGGCUUAGAAGCAGCCAUCAUUUAAAGAAAGCGUAAUAGCUCACUGGUCGAGUCGGCCUGCGCGGAAGAUGUAACGGGGCUAAACCAUGCACCGAAGCUGCGGCAGCGACACUAUGUGUUGUUGGGUAGGGGAGCGUUCUGUAAGCCUGUGAAGGUGUACUGUGAGGUAUGCUGGAGGUAUCAGAAGUGCGAAUGCUGACAUAAGUAACGAUAAAGCGGGUGAAAAGCCCGCUCGCCGGAAGACCAAGGGUUCCUGUCCAACGUUAAUCGGGGCAGGGUGAGUCGACCCCUAAGGCGAGGCCGAAAGGCGUAGUCGAUGGGAAACAGGUUAAUAUUCCUGUACUUGGUGUUACUGCGAAGGGGGGACGGAGAAGGCUAUGUUGGCCGGGCGACGGUUGUCCCGGUUUAAGCGUGUAGGCUGGUUUUCCAGGCAAAUCCGGAAAAUCAAGGCUGAGGCGUGAUGACGAGGCACUACGGUGCUGAAGCAACAAAUGCCCUGCUUCCAGGAAAAGCCUCUAAGCAUCAGGUAACAUCAAAUCGUACCCCAAACCGACACAGGUGGUCAGGUAGAGAAUACCAAGGCGCUUGAGAGAACUCGGGUGAAGGAACUAGGCAAAAUGGUGCCGUAACUUCGGGAGAAGGCACGCUGAUAUGUAGGUGAAGUCCCUCGCGGAUGGAGCUGAAAUCAGUCGAAGAUACCAGCUGGCUGCAACUGUUUAUUAAAAACACAGCACUGUGCAAACACGAAAGUGGACGUAUACGGUGUGACGCCUGCCCGGUGCCGGAAGGUUAAUUGAUGGGGUUAGCCGCAAGGCGAAGCUCUUGAUCGAAGCCCCGGUAAACGGCGGCCGUAACUAUAACGGUCCUAAGGUAGCGAAAUUCCUUGUCGGGUAAGUUCCGACCUGCACGAAUGGCGUAAUGAUGGCCAGGCUGUCUCCACCCGAGACUCAGUGAAAUUGAACUCGCUGUGAAGAUGCAGUGUACCCGCGGCAAGACGGAAAGACCCCGUGAACCUUUACUAUAGCUUGACACUGAACAUUGAGCCUUGAUGUGUAGGAUAGGUGGGAGGCUUGGAAGUGUGGACGCCAGUCUGCAUGGAGCCGACCUUGAAAUACCACCCUUUAAUGUUUGAUGUUCUAACGUUGACCCGUAAUCCGGGUUGCGGACAGUGUCUGGUGGGUAGUUUGACUGGGGCGGUCUCCUCCUAAAGAGUAACGGAGGAGCACGAAGGUUGGCUAAUCCUGGUCGGACAUCAGGAGGUUAGUGCAAUGGCAUAAGCCAGCUUGACUGCGAGCGUGACGGCGCGAGCAGGUGCGAAAGCAGGUCAUAGUGAUCCGGUGGUUCUGAAUGGAAGGGCCAUCGCUCAACGGAUAAAAGGUACUCCGGGGAUAACAGGCUGAUACCGCCCAAGAGUUCAUAUCGACGGCGGUGUUUGGCACCUCGAUGUCGGCUCAUCACAUCCUGGGGCUGAAGUAGGUCCCAAGGGUAUGGCUGUUCGCCAUUUAAAGUGGUACGCGAGCUGGGUUUAGAACGUCGUGAGACAGUUCGGUCCCUAUCUGCCGUGGGCGCUGGAGAACUGAGGGGGGCUGCUCCUAGUACGAGAGGACCGGAGUGGACGCAUCACUGGUGUUCGGGUUGUCAUGCCAAUGGCACUGCCCGGUAGCUAAAUGCGGAAGAGAUAAGUGCUGAAAGCAUCUAAGCACGAAACUUGCCCCGAGAUGAGUUCUCCCUGACCCUUUAAGGGUCCUGAAGGAACGUUGAAGACGACAACGUUGAUAGGCCGGGUGUGUAAGCGCAGCGAUGCGUUGAGCUAACCGGUACUAAUGAACCGUGAGGCUUAACCUUACAACGCCGAAG